This 305-nucleotide ribosomal RNA is filed under the name uncultured bacterium. RNAcentral's name for it is "bacterial SSU rRNA". It matches the Rfam family "Bacterial small subunit ribosomal RNA", at positions 333 to 655 of the family's 1533-position model. The record is from RNAcentral.
UGGCCCCUACGGGAGGCAGCAGUGGGGAAUAUUGCACAAUGGGGGAAACCCUGAUGCAGCGACGCCGCGUGAGCGAUGAAGUAUUUCGGUAUGUAAAGCUCUAUCAGCAGGGAAGAAAAUGACGGUACCUGACUAAGAAGCCCCGGCUAAUUACGUGCCAGCAGCCGCGGUAAUACGUAGGGGGCAAGCGUUAUCCGGAUUUACUGGGUGUAAAGGGAGCGUAGACGGUCCUGCAAGCCAGAUGUGAAAGCCCGGGGCUCAACCCCGGGACUGCAUUUGGAACUGUACGGCUAGAGCGUCGGAGG